Molecule: transfer RNA, 75 nt
Filed under: Sphingomonas abietis
Lineage: Bacteria; Pseudomonadati; Pseudomonadota; Alphaproteobacteria; Sphingomonadales; Sphingomonadaceae
Description: Sphingomonas sp. PAMB00755 tRNA-Thr
Rfam family: tRNA
About the family: Transfer RNA (tRNA) molecules are approximately 80 nucleotides in length. Their secondary structure includes four short double-helical elements and three loops (D, anti-codon, and T loops).
Source: RNAcentral
GCCCUUGUAGCUCAGCGGUAGAGCACCCGCCUUGUAAGCGGGCGGUCCUCGGUUCGAUCCCGAGCGUGGGCUCCA